This 463-nucleotide ribosomal RNA is filed under the name Carlia jarnoldae. RNAcentral's name for it is "partial 16S ribosomal RNA". It matches the Rfam family "Bacterial large subunit ribosomal RNA", at positions 1843 to 2561 of the family's 2925-position model. The record is from RNAcentral. Lineage: Eukaryota; Metazoa; Chordata; Lepidosauria; Squamata; Scincidae.
GUAUUAAAGGUGUUGCCUGCCCAGUGAAACAUUUUUCAACGGCCGCGGUAUCCUAACCGUGCAAAGGUAGCGUAAUCACUUGUCUUUUAAAUAAAGACUCGUAUGAAAGGCUAAAUGAAGACGAAACUGUCUCUUAUAGUUGACCAGUAAAACUGAUCUCCAAGUCCAAAAGCUUGGAUAAAUACAUAAGACGAGAAGACCCUGUGGAGCUUAAAACUAACGCUAUAACAACAAAUAGCAUAAGUUUUAAGUUGGGGCGACUUCGGAACAAAAUAAAACUUCCGAGCACAGAGCCAACCACUCCCACCUAGACCAACAAGUCAAAGACCAACAAUGACCCAGUCAUACUGAGCAACGAACCAAGUUACCCCAGGGAUAACAGCGCCAUCUUCUUCAAGAGUUCAUAUCGACAAGAAGGUUUACGACCUCGAUGUUGGAUCAGGACACCCAAAUGGUGCAGCAG